GACCGUGACUUAAUAAAAGGGUUAAUCAAAUAUUUUCCUAUACAAUUAUAACUUUCAAUCGAAUCAGGACCAAAGCCCAUUUAGUUAUAACCUUAGUCGGGUCAACACAAUCUCCUUAUAUAUUUUUUGUAGUUUUCAUGAAAGAUUACAACCAAGAGAGAGACAAGUUCAGAAUCUAGUUUAAGAGAAUAAUUACCAUAUUUUAAACUUACUUCAAUGUUUGUUCAAUUUCAUGGUAAAAUAUGUAUUUAUCAGUUUAAAAAUAUUGAUAAGUGCUAUGGAAAGGUAACUAAAUUAUAAAUUAUUAAGCACUUAUCACU
This 320-nucleotide long non-coding RNA is filed under the name Phoenix dactylifera (date palm). Its description in RNAcentral is "long non-coding RNA (PDAC_LNC009479)". The record is from RNAcentral. Lineage: Eukaryota; Viridiplantae; Streptophyta; Magnoliopsida; Arecales; Arecaceae.